UAGGUGUAUGCCGUUUGAAGUG
RNAcentral lists this non-coding RNA (22 nucleotides) under Arabidopsis thaliana (thale cress). Lineage: Eukaryota; Viridiplantae; Streptophyta; Magnoliopsida; Brassicales; Brassicaceae. The record is from RNAcentral.